This 1428-nucleotide long non-coding RNA is filed under the name Coturnix japonica (Japanese quail). RNAcentral describes it as "lncRNA (ENSCJPG00005013609.1)". The record is from RNAcentral. Lineage: Eukaryota; Metazoa; Chordata; Aves; Galliformes; Phasianidae.
GGAGGGUCAAUACCUGGAUUAGAUUUGCUCAACACCCUGCAGUGCUGUGUGCCCCUCACCAAGGCAAAGCUGUACAGCUCUAUUGCUGCAGCACUUCCCAUUGCAAAUACGUUUCACUUGGUUAAGGACACUCACCUCAGCUUUUCUGUGCUGUCUUCCCUGGUUCCUCCCGCCAAACUUAACCAUGUCUGUGAAGCAGGAGAUACAAUCACAGAACCGUCUGAGUUAGAAAGGUCCCCUAAAGGCCUGUGGUCCAACUCCCCUGCACUGAGCAGCGAUGCCCUACAGCUCCAUCAGGUGCCCAGAGUCCGGUCCAGCCUGACCAGAGCGCAUCGCAUCCUCCCCUUAGCGAGCUGUGCAGGCUCUGCCUGCUGCUUCCCCGUCAUCCUGGCAGCGCUCCUGUCCCUGCAGUGCCUGCAGAGCCCCGGGGCCGCAGUGCUCGGGCCACGCAGCUUGUGCCGCAGCGGGAGGGUGCGCCCUACACCCCUACACCCCUCAUCCGUCCGCACCUGUCCGUGCAUCCAUCCAUCCAUCCAUCGCUCCAUCCAUCCUCCCAUCCGUACCCACUCACCCCGUGCCUGUGCCCACCGCCCCGUGCACCCCAGCUCCCCCCUCCCCGUCCGUCCCAACCCCCUCCGUUACGUAAGGCGGCGGCGCGGCGCCUUUAAGAGCGGGGCCGGGCGGACGGUGCGCCGCCCCGGGAGCUCCCGGCGGAGGGGGGAGGUCGGGACCGGGACCGGGACCGGGAGCUGCCGAGCGGAGCCCCCAGCACCGCGGGGCCGGCGGGGCACCAUCCGGGGUGCGGGGGUAGCGGAGGGCGGGGGGCUGAGCCCGGGGGUGCAGGAAGGAGGCGGCGUGGCGCCGGGGGUGCAGGAAGCGGGGGGUUUGGCGGAGGGCGUGCAGGAAGCGGGGCUGGGAGCGCAGGGCCAGGAGCUGGUGGCCGGAGGGAGGGAGGCGGAGAGCGGCGGGGCCGGGGGCGUUGCGGGGCGGCCGGGGCAGUGGCAGCGGGUGGCGCUGGGGGUGCGGGCGGGGCUGCAGGAGCGGGGAGAGCGGGCGGCCCCCGCCGUGGGCGUGAAGGCGGCACGGAGACCCCGAGAGCUGUGCGGGAACGGGGGGCGGAGGGCGGCCAGGGGCGCGGACGGCGGCAGCCCCGGGGGGCGGCGGGGGAGGGUGGGAGGGCGCGGGGUGCAGGAGCGCGGCCCCAAAGCGCGGCAGGAGCAGGGCCUGAACCGCAGGGCGCAGCAGGAGCGAGGGCAGCGCGGGGACGGGGGCAGCCCCACGGGCAGAGCACGCUGGUGGGUCAGGAGGGGGCGGCAGGAGGAGGGCGAGGCGCUGCGAGGGGUGCAGGAGGAGGGAGAGCUGUACCGCGGGGAGCAGGAGCAGCUGCCCGGCACGUGGCCCCCACGGAGGCGCGAGGCCGGGGUGUGA